Molecule: ribosomal RNA, 212 nt
Filed under: uncultured Klebsiella sp.
Lineage: Bacteria; Pseudomonadati; Pseudomonadota; Gammaproteobacteria; Enterobacterales; Enterobacteriaceae
Description: partial 16S ribosomal RNA
Rfam family: Bacterial small subunit ribosomal RNA
Source: RNAcentral
CUCGAGCGGUAGCACAGAGAGCUUGCUCUCGGGUGACGAGCGGCGGACGGGUGAGUAAUGUCUGGGAAACUGCCUGAUGGAGGGGGAUAACUACUGGAAACGGUAGCUAAUACCGCAUAACGUCGCAAGACCAAAGUGGGGGACCUUCGGGCCUCAUGCCAUCAGAUGUGCCCAGAUGGGAUUAGCUGGUAGGUGGGGUAACGGCUCACCUA